Molecule: ribosomal RNA, 778 nt
Filed under: uncultured Neocallimastigales
Lineage: Eukaryota; Fungi; Neocallimastigomycota; Neocallimastigomycetes; Neocallimastigales
Description: partial large subunit ribosomal RNA
Rfam family: Eukaryotic large subunit ribosomal RNA
Source: RNAcentral
UAGAUGCGAGAGUAGAGCAUAUCAAUAAGCGGAGGAAAAGAAACUAACAAGGAUUCCCUUAGUAACGGCGAGUGAAGCGGGAAGAGCUCAAAUUUGAAAUCUUAAAGGUUUUACCUUGACGAAUUGUAGUUUAAAGAAGUGUUUUCUGUUGAAGUUUUCGGUAAAAGUUCUUUGGAAUAGGACAUCAUAGAGGGUGAGAAUCCCGUAUUUGACCAUUACUUUCCAGCUGUGUGAUACACUUUCAAAGAGUCGGAUUGUUUGGGAAUGCAGUCCAAAAUGGGUGGUAAAUUUCAUCUAAAGCUAAAUAUUGGCGAGAGACCAAUAGCGAACAAGUACCGUGAGGGAAAGAUGAAAAGAACUUUGAAAAGAGAGUUAAACAGUACGUGAAAUUGUCAAAAGGGAAGCGUUUGACACCAGUGUUGUUUAGUUGAAAAUCAAUUCAAUAAUUUUUGAUUUUGAGUAGUAUUGACUUCAUCAGCUUGCUGCUUUCUUUUCCGAAAUUAUUGAAUGCACUUUUCAGUUAACAAGUCAACAUCAAUUUCUUUUGUUGUAAAAGGGUAAGAGGAAGGUGGCUUACGCUUCGGCGUAAGUGUUUAUAGCCUUUUACCUCUGCAAUCGGAGAGAUUGAGGACAGCAGCGUAGACUCCUUCGGGGGUUAGAUACACUUGUGCUAAGCUAUAGCCUUGUAUAGACAACUUGUUGACUAUGCUCAGUCAUGUAGCUUACUCGCUUGUGCUAUUUUACCUACGCUUAGGAUGUUGACGCGCGUGUGUGCGUG